UACCCCGAGGAAAAGAAAUCAACCGAGAUUCCCCCAGUAGCGGCGAGCGAACGGGGAGCAGCCCAGAGCCUGAAUCAGUGUGUGUGUUAGUGGAAGCGUCUGGAAAGGCGCGCGAUACAGGGUGACAGCCCCGUACACAAAAAUGCACAUACUGUGAGCUCGAUGAGUAGGGCGGGACACGUGGUAUCCUGUCUGAAUAUGGGGGGACCAUCCUCCAAGGCUAAAUACUCCUGACUGACCGAUAGUGAACCAGUACCGUGAGGGAAAGGCGAAAAGAACCCCGGCGAGGGGAGUGAAAAAGAACCUGAAACCGUGUACGUACAAGCAGUGGGAGCACGCUUCGGCGUGUGACUGCGUACCUUUUGUAUAAUGGGUCAGCGACUUAUAUUCUGUAGCAAGGUUAACCGAAUAGGGGAGCCGAAGGGAAACCGAGUCUUAACUGGGCGUUAAGUUGCAGGGUAUAGACCCGAAACCCGGUGAUCUAGCCAUGGGCAGGUUGAAGGUUGGGUAACACUAACUGGAGGACCGAACCGACUAAUGUUGAAAAAUUAGCGGAUGACUUGUGGCUGGGGGUGAAAGGCCAAUCAAACCGGGAGAUAGCUGGUUCUCCCCGAAAGCU
This 619-nucleotide ribosomal RNA is filed under the name Escherichia coli. RNAcentral's name for it is "partial 23S ribosomal RNA". It matches the Rfam family "Bacterial large subunit ribosomal RNA", at positions 207 to 867 of the family's 2925-position model. Lineage: Bacteria; Pseudomonadati; Pseudomonadota; Gammaproteobacteria; Enterobacterales; Enterobacteriaceae. The record is from RNAcentral.